Molecule: ribosomal RNA, 322 nt
Filed under: uncultured eukaryote
Lineage: Eukaryota
Description: partial 18S ribosomal RNA
Rfam family: Eukaryotic small subunit ribosomal RNA
Source: RNAcentral
CCCUUAGAUGUUCUGGGCCGCACGCGUGCUACACUGAGUGGAUCAGCGGGUCAGGUUGCGCGAAAGCGUUUCCUAAUCUUUAAAUCCGCUCGUGAUGGGGAUUGACGGUUGCAAUUUUCUGUCAUGAACGAGGAAUACCUUGUAAGCGCGGGUCAUCAUCCCGCGCUGAAUACGUCCCUGCCCUUUGUACACACCGCCCGUCGCUCCUACCGAUUGAGUGGUCCGGUGAAGCCUCGGGAUUGUGGUUCUUGCCGCUUUAUUGUGGCGUGACCGCGAGAACUUGUCUAAACCUUAUCAUCUAGAGGAAGGUGAAGUCGUAACA